RNAcentral lists this ribosomal RNA (828 nucleotides) under Triticum aestivum (bread wheat). Its description in RNAcentral is "partial small subunit ribosomal RNA". Lineage: Eukaryota; Viridiplantae; Streptophyta; Magnoliopsida; Poales; Poaceae. The record is from RNAcentral.
CAGUUCACCGUCCCGGAUCUCCGCCCCGGCACGCUCGACUCCCUGCUCGCCCUCAGCGACGACCUCGUCAAGUCCAACAUCUUCAUCGAGGGCGUCUCCCACAAGAUCCGCCGGCAGAUCGAGGACCUGGAGCGCGCCGGAGGGGUCGAGCCCGGCACCCUCACCGUCGACGGCGUCCCCGUCGACAGCUACCUCACCAGGUUCGUGUGGGACAAGGGCAAGUACCCCGUCAACGCCCCGCUCAAGGAGACCGUCGCCAGCAUCCAGUCCCAGGUCGCCAAGAUCGAGGACGACAUGAAGGUUAGAGUUGCUGAAUACGGUAAUGUUAAGAGCCAGCUUGGCGCAAUCAACAGGAAGCAAACUGGGAGUUUAGCAGUUCGUGACCUUUCCAACCUCAUAAAUCCAGAGGAUAUGGUCACUUUGGAACAUCUAGUGACACUCCUUUCUAUUGUGCCAAAGUAUUCCCAAAAAGACUGGUUAUCAAGCUACGAGUCACUUGAUACGUUUGUGGUUCCGAGAUCAUCAAAAAAGCUUUACAAGGACAAUGAGUAUGCUCUCUACACUGUAACAUUAUUUGCCAAGGUUGUUGACAACUUUAAGGUCCAUGCUCGUGAGAAAGGUUUCCAGAUCCGUGACUUUGAGUAUAGUCCUGAAGCACAGGAGAGUCGGAAGCAAGAGCUAGAAAAACUGCUGCAAGACCAGGAAGUUAUGAGGACCUCUCUAUUGCAAUGGUGCUAUGCAAGCUACAGUGAGGUACAUGUCUUCUGCAGUGUAUUAUGUCCUAAUAUCGUCUAUGAACCGUAUGGUGAACAAACCACAUGCCCUUAG